RNAcentral lists this ribosomal RNA (468 nucleotides) under uncultured bacterium. RNAcentral describes it as "partial 16S ribosomal RNA". It matches the Rfam family "Bacterial small subunit ribosomal RNA", at positions 28 to 507 of the family's 1533-position model. The record is from RNAcentral.
GACGAACGCUGGCGGCGUGCUUAACACAUGCACGUCGAACGGAAAGGCCCUGCUUUUGUGGGGUGCUCGAGUGGCUAACGGGUGCUUAACACGUUAUUAACCUUCCCUUGACUUUGGGUUAACUUCAGGAAACUGGGUCUCAUACUGGCUAGGAGCUCCUGCUGCAUGGUGGGCGUUGGAAAGUUUCGGCGGUUGGGGAUGGACUCGCGGCUUGUCAGCUUGUUUGUGGGGUAGUGGCUUACCAAGCCUUUGACGGGUAGCCGGCCUGAGAGGGUGACCGGACACAUAGGAACUAAGAUACGGCCCAGAAUCCUACGGGAGGCAGCAGUGGGGAAUAUUACAGAAUGGGCAGAAGCCUGAUGCAGCAACGCCGCGUGCGGGAUAACGGCCUUCGGGUUGUAAACCGAUUUCGCCUGUGACGAAGCGUGAGUGACGAUAAUGGGUAAAGAAGAACCAGCUAACUAAGUG